This is a long non-coding RNA of Amphiprion ocellaris (clown anemonefish), 598 nucleotides long. Lineage: Eukaryota; Metazoa; Chordata; Actinopteri; Pomacentridae. The record is from Ensembl.
GUGUUAAACUUCCCGGCUCAUCUUGGAAGAGUACGUGCCAGAAAGACCACGACCAAGCAGCCUUGAGAUCUUAGGCAGCAUCUCCCUGAGUUCUGCCGGGCCAGCUCAGCUUCCCCUCAGAAGAAGUGACGCCACCUGCCAGAUGAAGGAGCCUUUUGAGAGGCAGCUGGCAUCGUGAUUGGACUGUACUUUGGUCUGUUCCAAUCCAGCUUCAGCUCCAGAGACGGCAGGCGGGACGAGUCAACGGAGGCCAGGUGGACGAAGGCAUGAAGCUGAGUACAAUCUAGAAAACAACAGAGGAGGAGUGCAGCAUCGUAUGUCUCUUAGAAAACAUCAUAGUAUAGCCUUUGGUAUGAAAAAAGGCCAUCAUAUACAUCAUAUAUUGUACAAAUAACAAGUCAAAGCAAAGAGACAUACAUUGUAGAAUUGUAGUAAUUGUGGGCUGACUGAUUUACUGAUUAUCAGUAUUUUAUUUUUUACUGAUUUACGGUAAUAAAUACAUUUAAAAAUGGCGCUACUUUGGCUCUGAACCUUUAUCUACCUGGUCGCUCUGUCUUCUGGAGUGAUUUGAUUGGUUAUACGUAACGAAUAAAACUCC